Molecule: small nuclear RNA, 239 nt
Filed under: Pogona vitticeps (central bearded dragon)
Lineage: Eukaryota; Metazoa; Chordata; Lepidosauria; Squamata; Agamidae
Description: 7SK RNA (ENSPVIG00000018777.1)
Rfam family: 7SK RNA (bases 1-196)
About the family: 7SK was discovered as an abundant small nuclear RNA in the mid-70s but a possible function has only recently been suggested. Two independent studies have found that 7SK RNA binds the CDK9/cyclin T complex (known as elongation factor P-TEFb).
Source: RNAcentral
GGAUGUGAAGGUGAUCUGGCUGAGACAUCUGUCAUCUCAUUGUUCACAAAGGCUGAUUUGGCUGACAUGCCUAGAUAGGUGGGUGUCCCCUUCCUACCUCACCACCUCAUCUGCAUCCCUCCUAAAGUUGGGUGCUCAGUGGAAAAGCACAACCAUCAGUUGUAUAGGAGUUACCAUGUACAGCAGAGGUCGUCAGCCCCCGGUCCGCGGCCCGGUGAGACGGACUGGGCCGCGAAGAC